GGGUCGACAUGAGAACACAUG
RNAcentral lists this microRNA (21 nucleotides) under Brassica rapa (field mustard). RNAcentral's name for it is "bra-miR398-5p". Its record names the gene bra-miR398-5p. RNAcentral also lists the same sequence under 1 other name. Lineage: Eukaryota; Viridiplantae; Streptophyta; Magnoliopsida; Brassicales; Brassicaceae. The record is from miRBase by way of RNAcentral.